AGCUCAAAUUUUAAAGCUGGCAUCUUCGGUGUCCGCGUUGUAAUUUUGUGAGGCAUCUCCGGGCAGGGCGCCGGCCUAAGUUCCUUGGAACAGGACGUCACAGAGGGUGAGAAUCCCGUGCUUGGCUGGCUGUCCCCGUCCAUGUGAGGUGUCUUCGACGAGUCGAGUUGUUUGGGAAUGCAGCUCAAAAUGGGUGGUAAAUUUCAUCUAAAGCUAAAUAUUGGUGGGAGACCGAUAGCGCACAAGUAGAGUGAUCGAAAGAUGAAAAGCACUUUGAAAAUAGAGUUAAAAAGUACGUGAAAUUGUUGAAAGGGAAGCGCUUGAGACCAGACUUCGGUAGGGGGUGAUCAGCCGUCCUUCUGGGCGGUGCACUUGCCCCCCUCCGGGCCAGCAUCGGUUGAGGCGGCGGGAUAAAGGUCCCGGGAAUGUGGCUCCUUCACGGGAGUGUUAUAGCCCGGGUGAAUGCCGCCAGCUUCGACCGAGGACCGCGCCCGCAAGGGUUAGGAUGCUUGGCAUAAUGGUCUUCAGCGACCCGUCUUGAAACACGGACCAAGGAGUCUAACAUCUAUGCGAGUGUUUGGGUGUCAAACCCUUGCGCGAAAUGAAAGUGAACGGAGGUGGGAACCCGCAAGGGCGCACCAUCGACCGGUCCUGAAGUCUUCUGAAGGAUCUGAGUAGGAGCAUAGCUGUUGGGACCCGAAAGAUGGUGAACUAUGCCUGAAUAGGGUGAAGCCAGAGGAAACUC
This 745-nucleotide ribosomal RNA is filed under the name Morchella importuna. Its description in RNAcentral is "partial large subunit ribosomal RNA". It matches the Rfam family "Eukaryotic large subunit ribosomal RNA", at positions 106 to 864 of the family's 3401-position model. The record is from RNAcentral. Lineage: Eukaryota; Fungi; Ascomycota; Pezizomycetes; Pezizales; Morchellaceae.